Long non-coding RNA from Pipra filicauda (Wire-tailed manakin), 272 nucleotides. RefSeq lists it as uncharacterized. Lineage: Eukaryota; Metazoa; Chordata; Aves; Passeriformes; Pipridae. The record is from RefSeq and is a predicted model, not a curated record. The transcript has 3 exons.
UUCCCCCUCAGCGCUUCCCUCCGAGCCCCCUCAGCGCUUCCCGCCUUCCCGGCCCGUCCCUGCCCGCGGGCUGAGGAGCCGCCCGGGACCCCCAGAGCCGCCCGGGACCCCCAGAGCCGCCCGUUCCCCGUUAGGAAGCAGGAGCGAAGGCAUUCGCUGCGUGUGCCGAGGUACGUGACUUAAGGUUGAAGAGCAUUUUCCAGCUCCCUGUCCUGUGCAUUGCUAAAAUAUAAAAUGUUGAAGCAGCUCUCCAGUGAGGUGACACACUCCAG